RNAcentral lists this ribosomal RNA (301 nucleotides) under uncultured bacterium. RNAcentral describes it as "partial 16S ribosomal RNA". It matches the Rfam family "Bacterial small subunit ribosomal RNA", at positions 509 to 807 of the family's 1533-position model. The record is from RNAcentral.
CAGCAGCCGCGGUAAUACGGAGGGUGCAAGCGUUAAUCGGAAUUACUGGGCGUAAAGCGCACGCAGGCGGUCUGACAAGUCAGAUGUGAAAUCCCCGGGCUUAACCUGGGAACUGCAUUUGAAACUGUCAGGCUGGAGUCUUGUAGAGGGGGGUGGAAUUCCAGGUGUAGCGGUGAAAUGCGUAGAGAUCUGGAGGAAUACCGGUGGCGAAGGCGGCCCCCUGGACGAAGACUGACGCUCAGGUGCGAAAGCGUGGGGAGCAAACAGGAUUAGAUACCCCUGUAGUCCCUGUCUCUUAUAC